UACGUAGGGGGCGAGCGUUGUCCGGAAUUAUUGGGCGUAAAGAGCGUGUAGGCGGCCAGGUAGGUCUGCUGUGAAAACUCGAGGCUCAACCUCGAGACGUCGGCGGAAACCAUCUGGCUAGAGUCCGGAAGAGGAGAGUGGAAUUCCUGGUGUAGCGGUGGAAUGCGCAGAUAUCAGGAGGAACACCGAUGGCGAAGGCAGAUCUCUGGGCCGUAACUGACGCUGAGGAGCGAAAGCGUGGGGAGCGAACAGG
Molecule: ribosomal RNA, 253 nt
Filed under: uncultured bacterium
Lineage: Bacteria
Description: partial 16S ribosomal RNA
Rfam family: Bacterial small subunit ribosomal RNA
Source: RNAcentral